GAUGAACGCUGGCGGCGUGCUUAACACAUGCAAGUCGAACGGAAAGGCCCUGCGUGCAGUGUACUCGAGUGGCGAACGGGCGAGUAACACGCGGGUGGUCUGCCCUCCACUUCGGCAUAAGCUUCGUCAACUGGGCCUAAUACCGAAUAGGAGCUAUCUUUAGCGUGGUGGUUGAAAAGUUUUUUCGGUGUAGGAUGAGCUCGCGGCCUAUCAGCUUGUUGGUGUGGUAAUGGCCUACGAAGGCGGCGACGGGUAGCCGACCUGGGUGGGUGUACAGCGACAUUGGGACUGAGAUACGGAGCAGAAUGCUACGGGAGGCAGCGGUGGGGAGUCUUGCACAGUGAGCGCGCGUGUGAUGCGGAGACGCCGGGUGGGUGAUGCACGCUUUCGGGUUAUAAACAACUUUCGCUAGGGACGAAGCUUUUUGUGACGGUACCUAGAUAAGAAGCACCGGCUAACUACGU
This 464-nucleotide ribosomal RNA is filed under the name uncultured bacterium. RNAcentral's name for it is "partial 16S ribosomal RNA". It matches the Rfam family "Bacterial small subunit ribosomal RNA", at positions 28 to 506 of the family's 1533-position model. The record is from RNAcentral.